This 650-nucleotide long non-coding RNA is filed under the name Homo sapiens (human). Its description in RNAcentral is "HSALNT0248159". Lineage: Eukaryota; Metazoa; Chordata; Mammalia; Primates; Hominidae. The record is from RNAcentral.
GGAGGGGCAGGGCCCCGGGCUAGGUCCAGGCCCGCAGCUGGCAUCAGGGGGGGCCUGGGUGGGAAGACCGGUUGGGGUGGGGGUGCACAGACCCGGGGAAUCUGAGACGCAAGGUUUCCGGCUCUUGGCCGCUAGUGAGGAAGGCUCGAGGCCGAUCCUGGCCCAAAGCAGGGCGCCGGGCCAUUGUCAGUCCUGGGAAGGGGGAUUGGGAGGAGCCCCAGAGGGGCGGCCAUUCCCUGGGGCGGCGUGGAAGGGAGGCAGCACCUCCAGGCGACAAGUAGAGCUGGGCCCUGGCGGGCUGCCACGGGGGUGUCUGGCAGUCUCUCCUGGGUCUAGGGCUGUUCCUCUGAGGUCACGAGGUGGUCCUUCGGUUGGGAAGAUAAAACCAGCACGUGUAAUGUAAUACAUGACAAUGGAAGAUUCUACGUAAUUAAGGGUUAACUCUGAAAUCAGAAGACAAGUUUUCCAAGACUUGGGAAGGUGGAGAGAUCAGAGAUCAGUGAGAGAACAAAGAAUCGGGAGGUCACACGCCACCUGCGGAUGGAGGAGACACACGCAGACAAGACAGGCCCCCCGCCACUGUUGGCACACAGGACACCCACCCAGCCUAUGGUCCUGUCUGUGGUUGGACAACAUAAUCAGAAUAACAG